RNAcentral lists this long non-coding RNA (453 nucleotides) under Salvia miltiorrhiza (redroot sage). Its description in RNAcentral is "long non-coding RNA (SMIL_LNC011038)". The record is from RNAcentral. Lineage: Eukaryota; Viridiplantae; Streptophyta; Magnoliopsida; Lamiales; Lamiaceae.
GGCAGACGGGAUCUGGGGAUGGGGGAGGGACAGGUCGUUGCGGUCUGGGGAGUGGGAGACCGACGAGAUCUGGGGAUGGGAGAGGGCCGAUGGGUCUGGGAAUGGGGGAAGGGGUGGCCGGCGCUGGCGUAUGGUGGCGGCGGGCGGCGCCGGCGGGUGGGGGGAAAGGGGGAAGAGGUGAAUAAGGUUGGGGAAGAUGAUGACUUGGAAAUUUUCUUCUUUUUUUUAAUUUUUUUUGCCACAUGUAAAAAUUAUGUUUAGGUGUCAAUUCCGGUUGCCAUCUCAUCUAUUCCGGCAGCCACAGUGGCAUUUCCGGCGCCGGCGUUAGAAAAAACCGGUGAUCGGACAAAUUCGAGACAAAAACGAAAGGUUAGGUAUUUAAAAGUAGAAAAAUAAAAAAAGGUGCAAAAAUCAAUUCCAUGUAAACGUUAGGAAUUUACAGGCAAUUACCCC